RNAcentral lists this ribosomal RNA (499 nucleotides) under uncultured bacterium. RNAcentral describes it as "partial 16S ribosomal RNA". It matches the Rfam family "Bacterial small subunit ribosomal RNA", at positions 30 to 523 of the family's 1533-position model. The record is from RNAcentral.
AUUGAACGCUGGCGGAAUGCUUUACACAUGCAAGUCGAACGGCAGCACGGACUUCGGUCUGGUGGCGAGUGGCGAACGGGUGAGUAAUACAUCGGAACGUGCCCAGUUGUGGGGGAUAACGUAGCGAAAGCUACGCUAAUACCGCAUACGAUCUAAGGAUGAAAGCGGGGAUCGCAAGACCUCGCGCGAUUGGAGCGGCCGAUGGCAGAUUAGGUAGUUGGUGGGGUAAAGGCUCACCAAGCCGACGAUCUGUAGCUGGUCUGAGAGGACGACCAGCCACACUGGGACUGAGACACGGCCCAGACUCCUACGGGAGGCAGCAGUGGGGAAUUUUGGACAAUGGGCGCAAGCCUGAUCCAGCCAUUCCGCGUGCAGGAUGAAGGCCCUCGGGUUGUAAACUGCUUUUGUACGGAACGAAAAGGCUCUGGUUAAUACCUGGGGCUCAUGACGGUACCGUAAGAAUAAGCACCGGCUAACUACGUGCCAGCCGCCGCAGUAA